AUUUAGGUAGUUUAAUAAAAAAAUGUUGAUUUGUGGAAUCAAAGAUGUAGUAGUAUCCUAGAUA
RNAcentral lists this transfer RNA (64 nucleotides) under Rhaetus westwoodii. RNAcentral's name for it is "tRNA-His". The record is from RNAcentral. Lineage: Eukaryota; Metazoa; Arthropoda; Insecta; Coleoptera; Lucanidae.